UUCAAGAAUCAAGGGCUUAUGAGGGAUACCUAGGCAUUCAGAAGCGAUGAAGGACGUGGCUACCUACGAUAAGCUUCGGGUAGCUGGAAGCAAGCUGUGAUCCGAAGAACUCCGAAUGAGGAAACUCUUAAAACUCCUUGUUGAAUAUAUAGACAAGAAAGAGCAAACCUGGGGAAUUGAAACAUCUUAGUACCCGGAGGAAAAGAAAGUAAACUACGAUUACCUUAGUAGCGGCGAGCGAAAUGGUAAGGACGCCUAAACUAAUUUUAUUAGGGUUGUUGGGACAGCGAAUAAAAAAAACGUUAGGAGAAGUAUUUGGAAUAAUACACCAUAGAAAGUGAAAGUCUUGUACCUUAAAACAAUAUAAACUUACUGUAUCCCGAGUAGCAUGGAGCACGUGUAAUUCCGUGUGAAUCAGCGAGGACCACCUCGCAAGGCUGAAUAUUCCUGAAUGACCGAUAGUGAACCAGUACCGUGAGGGAAAGGUGAAAAGAACCCCGGGAGGGGAGUGAAAUAGAACAUGAAAUCAUAAGCUUACAAGCAGUAGGAGGACGACUUAACGUUUGACUACGUUCCUGUUGAAGAAUGAGCCGGCGACUUAUAGGGAAUGGCAUGGUUAAAAUUAUAUUGGAGCCGUAGCGAAAGCGAGUUUGAAUUAGAGCGUUUGUCAUUUUUUAUAGACCCGAACCCGGAUGAUCUAACCAUGGCCAGGUUGAAACUUAGGUAAUACUAAUUGGAGGACCGAACCGACUGAUGUUGAAAAAUCAGCGGAUGAGUUGUGGUUAGGGGUGAAAUGCCAAUCGAAUCCGGAGCUAGCUGGUUCUCCCCGAAAUGUGUUUAGGCGCAGCGGUUAAUUUUGUAUUUUAGGGGUAAAGCACUGUUUCGAUGCGGGCCGGUAAUUCGGUACCAAAUCGAGGCAAACUAAGAAUACUAAAAUAUCUUUUAACCAGUAAGACUGUGGGGGAUAAGCUCCAUUGUCAAGAGGGAAACAGCCCAGACCACCAGCUAAGGCCCCUAAAUAAUUACUAAGUGAUAAAGGAAGUAGAAGUGCUUAGACAACCAGGAGGUUUGCUUAGAAGCAGCAAUCCUUUAAAGAAUGCGUAAUAGCUCACUGGUCGAGUAAAUUUGCGCCGAAAAUGUAUGGGGCUAAGUAAUUUGCCGAAGCUGUGGGAUAUCUAUAUUAUAAAUAUCGGUAGGGGAGCGUUCUGUUAUAGGUUGAAGCAUUAGCGAAAGCGGGUGUGGACGAAACAGAAGUGAGAAUGUCGGCUUGAGUAGCGAAAACAUUGGUGAGAAUCCAAUGCCCCGAAAACCUAAGGUUUCCUUCGGAAGGCUCGUCCGCGGAGGGUAAGUCAGGACCUAAGGCGAGGCUGAGAAGCGUAGUCGAUGGACAACAGGUUAAUAUUCCUGUACUAUUAAUAAUCAAGUAAGGGCAAGGAGUGACGGAGCAGGCUAAGCUAGCCGGAUUCUGGUUACCGGUUUAAACGUUCUAAGUGUUGAUAAAUAGAGAAAAUAUUUUGAGCUGAGACGUGAAUACGUUAUGCUACGGCAUUUAAGUAGUUGAUGUCAUACUUCCAAGAAAAGCUUCCACUGUCGAAUUAUUAAUACCUGUACUGUAAACCGACACAGGUGGGUAAGUAGAGAAUACUAAGGGGCGCGAGAUAACUCUCUCUAAGGAACUCGGCAAAAUAGCCCCGUAACUUUGGGAGAAGGGGUACCUUGAGAAAGGUUGCAAUAAUCAGGUCCAAGCGACUGUUUACCAAAAACACAGGUCUCCGCUAAGUCGUAAGACGAUGUAUGGGGGCUGACGCCUGCCCAGUGCCGGAAGGUUAAAGAAGUCGGUUUUUGCUGAUAACUGAAGCCCCGGUGAACGGCGGCCGUAACUAUAACGGUCCUAAGGUAGCGAAAUUCCUUGUCGGGUAAG
This 1921-nucleotide ribosomal RNA is filed under the name seawater metagenome. Its description in RNAcentral is "bacterial LSU rRNA". It matches the Rfam family "Bacterial large subunit ribosomal RNA", at positions 1 to 1980 of the family's 2925-position model. The record is from RNAcentral.